GGCCCGUGUAGCUCAGUCGGAAGAGCGAUUCACUCGUAAUGAAUAGGUCCGGGGGUCUAUUGCCCGCGCGGCCC
RNAcentral lists this transfer RNA (74 nucleotides) under Actinomycetota bacterium. RNAcentral's name for it is "Actinobacteria bacterium tRNA-Thr". It matches the Rfam family "tRNA". From Rfam's summary of the family: Transfer RNA (tRNA) molecules are approximately 80 nucleotides in length. Their secondary structure includes four short double-helical elements and three loops (D, anti-codon, and T loops). Further hydrogen bonds mediate the characteristic L-shaped molecular structure. tRNAs have two regions of fundamental functional importance: the anti-codon, which is responsible for specific mRNA codon recognition, and the 3' end, to which the tRNAs corresponding amino acid is attached (by aminoacyl-tRNA synthetases). tRNAs cope with the degeneracy of the genetic code in two manners: having more than one tRNA (with a specific anti-codon) for a particular amino acid; and 'wobble' base-pairing, i.e. permitting non-standard base-pairing at the 3rd anti-codon position. The record is from RNAcentral. Lineage: Bacteria; Bacillati; Actinomycetota.